GAUGAACGCUAGCUACAGGCUUAACACAUGCAAGUCGAGGGACCGGCGCACGGGUGAGUGACGCGUAUCCAACCUGCCCACCACUUGGGGAUAACCUUGCGAAAGUAAGACUAAUACCCAAUGGUGAUGGAUGGGGAUGCGUCUGAUUAGCUUGUUGGCGGGGUAACGGCCCACCAAGGCGACGAUUAGUAGGGGUUCUGAGAGGAAGGUCCCCCACAUUGGAACUGAGACACGGUCCAAACUCCUACGGGAGGCAGCAGUGAGGAAUAUUGGUCAAUGGACGAGAGUCUGAACCAGCCAAGUAGCGUGCAGGAUGACGGCCUAUGGGUUGUAAACUGCUUUUAUAAGGGAAUAUGUACCUUAUGAAUAAGGACCGGCUAAUUCCGUGCCAGCAGCCGCGGUAAUACGGAAGGUCCGGGCGUUAUCCGGAUUUAUUGGGUUUAAAGGGAGCGUAGGCCGGAGAUUAAGCGUGUUGUGAAAUGU
Molecule: ribosomal RNA, 483 nt
Filed under: uncultured bacterium
Lineage: Bacteria
Description: bacterial SSU rRNA
Rfam family: Bacterial small subunit ribosomal RNA
Source: RNAcentral